This 240-nucleotide ribosomal RNA is filed under the name uncultured bacterium. RNAcentral's name for it is "partial 16S ribosomal RNA". The stretch from base 136 to 240 matches the Rfam family "Bacterial small subunit ribosomal RNA", at positions 401 to 526 of the family's 1533-position model. The record is from RNAcentral.
CGCCCGUCCCCCGUUCCCCGUCCCGGCCCGACCUACCUACGACGUACCGUACCGGGUACGGGACGGACGGACGACGGUAGGGGUAAGGUACGUUCGUCACAAGUAGGGCGAACCGUAGACUGCAGCGACGCCGACGCGAGCGGAUGAAGCCUUCGGGUGUAAGCUCUUUCGGCAGGGAAGAUUAUGACGGUACCUGCAGAAGCAGCUGCGGCUAACUACGUGCCAGCAGCCGCGGAAUAC